AGAGUUUGAUCCUGGCUCAGAUUGAACGCUGGCGGCAUGCUUUACACAUGCAAGUCGGACGGCAGCGGAGGUGCUUGCACCUGCCGGCGAGUGGCGAACGGGUGAGUAACAUAUUGGAAUGUACCGAGUAGUGGGGAUAACCAAUCGAAAGAUUGGCUAAUACCGCAUACGUCCUAAGGGGGAAAGCAGGGGAUCUUCGGACCUUGCGCUAUUUGAGCAGCCAAUAUCUGAUUAGCUAGUUGGUGGGGUAAAGGCCCACCAAGGCGACGAUCAGUAGCGGGUCUGAGAGGAUGAUCCGCCACACUGGGACUGAGACACGGCCCAGACUCCUACGGGAGGCAGCAGUGGGGAAUUUUGGACAAUGGGGGCAACCCUGAUCCAGCCAUGCCGCGUGUCUGAAGAAGGCCUUCGGGUUGUAAAGGACUUUUGUUAGGGAAGAAAAGAGAAGUGUUAAUACCACUUUUUGCUGACGGUACCUAAAGAAUAAGCACCGGCUAACUACGUG
Molecule: ribosomal RNA, 505 nt
Filed under: uncultured Kingella sp.
Lineage: Bacteria; Pseudomonadati; Pseudomonadota; Betaproteobacteria; Neisseriales; Neisseriaceae
Description: bacterial SSU rRNA
Rfam family: Bacterial small subunit ribosomal RNA
Source: RNAcentral